RNAcentral lists this ribosomal RNA (253 nucleotides) under uncultured bacterium. RNAcentral's name for it is "partial 16S ribosomal RNA". It matches the Rfam family "Bacterial small subunit ribosomal RNA", at positions 524 to 776 of the family's 1533-position model. The record is from RNAcentral.
CACGUAGGAGGCGAGCGUUGUCUGGAAUCAUUGGGCGUAAAGAGCGCGCAGGCGGCUUGGCAAGUCGGGUGUGAAAUCCCGGGGCUCAACCCCGGGACUGCAUUCGAUACUGUCAGGCUAGAGGUAGGUAGGGGAGAUCGGAAUUCCUGGUGUAGCGGUGAAAUGCGCAGAUAUCAGGAGGAACACCGGUGGCGAAGGCGGAUCUCUGGGCCUUACCUGACGCUCAGGCGCGAAAGCUAGGGGAGCGAACAGG